Molecule: ribosomal RNA, 253 nt
Filed under: uncultured prokaryote
Description: partial 16S ribosomal RNA
Rfam family: Bacterial small subunit ribosomal RNA
Source: RNAcentral
UACAGAGGUCCCAAGCGUUGUUCGGAUUCACUGGGCGUAAAGGGUGCGUAGGCGGCCAGAUAAGUCUGAUGUGAAAUCUCCGGGCUUAACCCGGAAACUGCAUUGGAAACUAUUUGGCUAGAGAGUUGGAGGGGGGACUGGAAUUCUCGGUGUAGCAGUGAAAUGCGUAGAUAUCUGGAGGAACACCGGUGGCGAAGGCGGCAUCCUGGACCAAUUCUGACGCUGAGGAGCGAAAGCCAGGGGAGCAAACGGG